RNAcentral lists this ribosomal RNA (497 nucleotides) under uncultured bacterium. Its description in RNAcentral is "partial 16S ribosomal RNA". It matches the Rfam family "Bacterial small subunit ribosomal RNA", at positions 28 to 507 of the family's 1533-position model. The record is from RNAcentral.
GACGAACGCUGGCGGCGUGCCUAAUACAUGCGAGUUGAGCGCUGAAGGUUGGUACUUGUACCAACUGGAUGAGCAGCGAACGGGUGAGUAACGCGUGGGGAAUCUGCCUUUGAGCGGGGGACAACAUUUGGAAACGAAUGCUAAUACCGCAUAAAAACUUUAAACACAAGUUUUAAGUUUGAAAGAUGCAAUUGCAUCACUCAAAGAUGAUCCCGCGUUGUAUUAGCUAGUUGGUGAGGUAAAGGCUCACCAAGGCGAUGGUACAUAGCCGACCUGAGAGGGUGAACGGCCACAAUGGGACUGAAACAACGCCCAAACUCCCUCGGGAGGCAGCAGGAGGGAAUCUUCGGCCAUGGACGAAAGUCUGACCGAGCAACGCCGCGUGAGUGAAGAAGGGUUUCGGAUCGUAAAACUCUGUUGGUAGAGAAGAACGUUGGUGAGAGUGGAAAGCUCAUCAAGUGACGGUAACUACCCAGAAAGGGACGGCUAACUACGUG